RNAcentral lists this ribosomal RNA (253 nucleotides) under uncultured bacterium. RNAcentral describes it as "partial 16S ribosomal RNA". It matches the Rfam family "Bacterial small subunit ribosomal RNA", at positions 524 to 776 of the family's 1533-position model. The record is from RNAcentral.
UACGAAGGUGGCAAGCGUUGUUCGGAUUUACUGGGCGUAAAGGGAGCGUAGGUGGUUAGGUAAGCCCUCCGGGAAAUCUUCAGGCUCAACCUGAAAAGGUCGGGGGGGACUGCCUAGCUAGAGGGCGGGAGAGGAGCGCGGAAUUCCCGGUGUAGCGGUGAAAUGCGUAGAGAUCGGGAGGAAGGCCGGUGGCGAAGGCGGCCUGCUGGGCAGUGGCUGACGCUGAGGCGCGACAGCGUGGGGAGCAAACAGG